RNAcentral lists this transfer RNA (84 nucleotides) under Lablab purpureus (hyacinth bean). Its description in RNAcentral is "tRNA-Tyr". Lineage: Eukaryota; Viridiplantae; Streptophyta; Magnoliopsida; Fabales; Fabaceae. The record is from RNAcentral.
GAAUCAUUGAUAAAAUGGAUUCAAUAUGUUCUGUCCCUAAACCAAAUUUUUAUUUUUUUAUUGAAAAAUUCUUUUCAAAAACUU